UUGACCUCAAAUCAGGUAGGACUACCCGCUGAACUUAAGCAUAUCAAUAAGCGGAGGAAAAGAAACUAACAAGGAUUCCCCUAGUAACUGCGAGUGAAGCGGGAAAAGCUCAAAUUUGRAAUCUGGCAGUUCUUUACUGUCCGAGUUGUAAUCUAGAGAAGUGCUACCUGUGCUGGACCGUGUACAAGUCUCCUGGAAUGGAGUAUCAUAGAGGGUGAGAAUCCCGUCUUUGACACGGACUACCUGUGCGUUAUGGUGCGCUCUCAAAGAGUCGAGUUGUUUGGGAAUGCAGCUCAAAAUGGGUGGUAAAUGCCAUCUAAAGCUAAAUAUUGGCGAGAGACCGAUAGCGAACAAGUACCGUGAGGGAAAGAUGAAAAGAACUUUGGAAAGAGAGUUAAACAGUACGUGAAAUUGCUGAAAGGGAAACGCUUGAAGUCAGUCGCGUUGGCCUGAAAUCAACUUUGCUUUUGCUUGGUGUAUUUUCUGGUCAACGGGUCAGCAUCAAUUUUGACCACUGGAUAAAGUCCUUGGAAAUGUAGCAUCUUYGGAUGUGUUAUAGUCCAUUGUCGCAUACAGUGGUUGGGAUUGAGGAACUCAGCACGCCGCAAGGCCGGGUUUCGACCACGUUCGUGCUUAGGAUGCUGGCAUAAUGGCUUUAAUCGACCCGUC
This 669-nucleotide ribosomal RNA is filed under the name Inocybe ochroalba. RNAcentral's name for it is "eukaryotic LSU rRNA". It matches the Rfam family "Eukaryotic large subunit ribosomal RNA", at positions 1 to 653 of the family's 3401-position model. Lineage: Eukaryota; Fungi; Basidiomycota; Agaricomycetes; Agaricales; Inocybaceae. The record is from RNAcentral.